Molecule: long non-coding RNA, 1682 nt
Organism: Chinchilla lanigera (long-tailed chinchilla)
Lineage: Eukaryota; Metazoa; Chordata; Mammalia; Rodentia; Chinchillidae
Exons: 7
Source: RefSeq, a predicted model, not a curated record
AUUUCUUCGCCUCCACUCUUUGGUUCUCUCCACCCCGCUUCAGGCCCCCUCCCCCCAAGACACACGGCACCCUCGGUGCCAGGGAAGGUGCCUUGCGGAGAAAGAAAAGACGCCAGAAGAACGGGGGAAGAGCGCUUGGUGCCCACACUGUUGGCCUCGGGGUAAGUGCGGACGACCGCCGCGGACCCCCUGGAGUGGGGAGUGGGUUAGGGGCCUGGGGGUCGGGGCGGAUCCGGAUGCCGCUCCCUGCCCUCCCCCCAGCCCGAGAUCUGCGGCACGAGGCGCGGGCUCUGAAGCCCCCAGCUGGGCCCCAGCAGCAAUAGGUGGGCGGAGCGCAGCGCAACGCGGGGCGGCGGGAAAGGGGUGGGGUGCGCAGUUUGGCUUCUAUAGGACCCAGGAACAGUGGCAGAACCUGCGAGCUAGGUGGGUGACUCUCCCGCGUGGAGCAACCGACCCGAGGACCACCACUCCAGUGGAGCGUGGAGGACCUUGGAGUCAGGCGCUCUGUCCAUCGCCGCCUUCAGCAGAGCAAGACGGUGGAGCCGCGGGCGCACCGGCGACCCUGCGCGCAGGUCGCGCCUCCUAAACAACUCACACCCAGCGACCAUCAGGACGCCUCCUGCUCCCGGCCCGCGGGACCGAGGGGACCGUGGGAGGACAGGCUGGUGGCAGGACCGGCCCGGCGUGUGCGGGAAGGCUGGAGUUGGUCGAGUUAUUGUGUGCUGGCGCUGUUCCAUAAACCAAAACUGGCUUUCGGGGCAUUAAAGAAAAUUACGGGGCUGAAGAUCUGAAAUGCAUGGGGUAAAACGGACCUUUCAGCAUUCAUCGCGUUCAAAUCAGGCAUAAGAUGAAAAUAUCCCCAUCAAAGUGUUUAGAUUGGACAAAGCUCUGUUUCAGGUGGCAGUGUAGAAGCCAAAUCGGGAGCUUCUAGCAGUGGUUUAAAAAAAAAAUAAGAGUUAAAUGUACGUACAUGAGUAAGCAAGCACAGGAAUCUGAAAAACCACAGGUCAAGCUGUAGAACAUUUCUGAUAUGCCAGAAGAUUUCUUCCUGCCCUUUCUGUUCAUCAUUCAUCUGCCUCCAAUAUGAAGGAAAUCUCUGCCGUCUUUUGGGUUCUUUCUGCCUGAGCUUGCAGCCUACCACACAGAGGUCAGUCUUUUGACACAUGGACAGCUUGAGAUGGAGCUUGUCUUCGGGCAGGAGGCAGUUCUCCAAGAUGCUGAACAUACCCAAGCACAGCCUAUCUCCAUGAUUACCUCUUGCCACCCAGAGGCUGUACUCCCUUAUCCUCGGGCACCACCCAUUGUUAAGUGGGGGAGCAGUUGCCAGCCCUAGAGCUCCCGGGGUGUGUGGUAUGUGUGUGUGCGUGUGUGUGUGUAGUACUGAGGAUUGAGCCCAAGGCCUCAUAUGUUAGGCAAGUACUGUAACACAGAGGAACAUCCCUAGUCCUUUUUAAAAAUUUUGUUUUAAGAUGGCAUUUCCUGAAACUGAUCAGUGUGUCAUCAAAAUUGUAAUUUUCCUGCUUCAGCCUUCCAAAUAGCUGGGAUACAGACAUGUCAUGUCCCACCGUGCCCACCUGCCAGGAUUACUUUUUAAAAGUCUCCUUUUUAGUUACUGGGGAAAACAUAUGGACACAAUUUGUGUUUUUGUUUGUUUGUUUUUUGCUUUUUUUCCAGUACCAAGA